This 1299-nucleotide long non-coding RNA is filed under the name Homo sapiens (human). RNAcentral's name for it is "long intergenic non-protein coding RNA 635". The record is from RNAcentral. Lineage: Eukaryota; Metazoa; Chordata; Mammalia; Primates; Hominidae.
CAUAGCAACAGCAGCGUAGCUGAACAUCUUACGGAUGGCCCAGGGCUCCAAAGGCUCGUUUCCUAAGUGAGAGAGAGCCUGGCUGAAGCUGUAUUACCAUUCAUUCUCCAGCCUCCGAAGUCUCAAAGCAUCACUUCCACCAUACUCUAACUGUCAAGACAAACACAAAGGCCCAGAAACUGCCAGACUGUCUUCUGAAGUGGCUAUAAUAUUUACACUCCCAUCAGCAGUGUAGAAGGGGUCUCACUAUGUUGUCUGGAGUGCUGUGGUGGAGUGGAGUGGCUAUUCACAGAGCCUGUUCUGCUGGGACACAGAAUCACUUGCUCCAUCUCAUACAUUGAUGAUGAUUAAUUUGUAUGUGUACCUUCCAAAAAAGAUGGUUGUGUUUGAAUGGAGGCCUUCUGGACAGGAAAAUAUGGAGAGUGCGUGCUUUGGAUUCAAGACUGGGAAUGAGGGGACCAGAAACCUAUUCUGUGGCUGUUUCUUGUUAGGACUUUCCUAAGCCUCUGGAAAAGUGCAAAGUACAAUUAACAUUUGAGUCUGUCUGAGUCAUGAAGAAAUGGAGAUUACUGAAAAUAAUUCAUUUUGGUAUCUUCUUACAUCCUGAGAGACUAAUCUUUCCAAGUUCAUCUGAGGCUCCUCUUCUCCAUGACAACCUCAUCCAGGGAUUUCUUCCUGUCCUGGUGUUUUAUGACAUAAUCACAUCCUUCCUGAGAUAAUGAGCACACAAUUGCCUGGAUACCUGAAGGAAUGGAGACAGCGGCAGAAAACACUGCAGAGAGGUGGAAACAUCCGUUAAUAUUUUAAAAUCCCAUUACUGCUACCAACAAUAAUAAUGGAUGCAUAGAAAUAGAUCUGGAUUAGCUGAGCUUGAAACAGUCCAUCUCACACACACACAAAAGAAUUUCAGAUACAGUGAACCCACAUGUUGAAGCUUUCUAGUAUAAUAAAAAUUUCAACUGUUCUGUUGAAUCAUCUGCCUGAUUGGAGGCUACAGAAAAGAUGUCAUCUUAGGAGUGCUUGCUCUGAGUGAGGCUCAUCUUCAAAUCUGAAUGACCACAAGGAGAUUUGAUUAUACAUGUGAACACCUCAGAAGGCACAGCCCACCCAGAAGGCAGACAGGAGGAGACAGACACUAGAGCUCACCGGCUCGCCCUCUCACUCCUACUCAUCUGAGAAGGCAGCCAGCUAACCCUUCAGCCAGGAAGAGGGUCCUCAUCAGAACCUGGCCGUGGUGGCAUCCAGAUCUUGAACCUCCGGACUCCAGACUGUGAGAAAAUAAGUGUGUUGUUUAAACUA